RNAcentral lists this ribosomal RNA (468 nucleotides) under uncultured bacterium. RNAcentral describes it as "partial 16S ribosomal RNA". It matches the Rfam family "Bacterial small subunit ribosomal RNA", at positions 28 to 507 of the family's 1533-position model. The record is from RNAcentral.
GACGAACGCUGGCGGCGUGCUUAACACAUGCAAGUCGAACGGAAAGGCCCUGCUUUUGUGGGGUGCUCGAGUGGCGAACGGGUGAGUAACACGUGAGUAACCUGCCCUUGACUUUGGGAUAACUUCAGGAAACUGGGGCUAAUACCGGAUAGGAGCUCCUGCCGCAUGGUGGGGGUUGGAAAGUUUCGGCGGUUGGGGAUGGACUCGCGGCUUAUCAGCUUGUUGGUGGGGUAGUGGCUUACCAAGGCUUUGACGGGUAGCCGGCCUGCGAGGGUGACCGGCCACAUUGGGACUGAGAUACGGCCCAGACUCCUACGGGAGGCAGCAGUGGGGAAUAUUACACAGUGGGCGGAAGCCUGAUGCAGCAACGCCGCGUGCGGGAUGACAGCAAUCGGGUUGUGAACCGCUUUCGCCUGUGACGAAGCGUGAGUGACGGUAAUGGGUAAAGAAGCACCGGCUAACUACGUG